RNAcentral lists this non-coding RNA (27 nucleotides) under Bombyx mori (domestic silkworm). The record is from RNAcentral. Lineage: Eukaryota; Metazoa; Arthropoda; Insecta; Lepidoptera; Bombycidae.
UGUUCGUAAUCUUUGAUCGAUGGAGUC